Molecule: RNA transcript, 4918 nt
Organism: Diceros bicornis minor
Lineage: Eukaryota; Metazoa; Chordata; Mammalia; Perissodactyla; Rhinocerotidae
Gene: MTHFD2
Gene name: methylenetetrahydrofolate dehydrogenase (NADP+ dependent) 2, methenyltetrahydrofolate cyclohydrolase
Exons: 10
Source: RefSeq, a predicted model, not a curated record
UUUGCUGUUCGACUUGUAGCAGAGUUUAGAGUUUUUCUCACAGGUACAGCUCCCUGUGCUUGAUUCUGUGUGGAAAUCGUAGCUUUGAGCUGCACUCUUCUCUCUCUCGGUUCUCGUUUGGAGUUUUCUAAGAGGUAAAUACAUGCUGUCAAGCUCUAGCGUGAUACCUGUCACAGGAUAGGAAGCCAAUCCAAGUUUCACUCUAAGUGGGGAGUGUAGGUUGCUACAGUGUGUUUGGAGGGUGAUUCGACAGUACUUUUCCAGAUUUUCAGUUUGCAUAUCCUUCUUUCCAGCAGUUCUACUUCUGGGACUUGCGAUAUAGUUGUCUACAUGCAUGAGGAUGUUUACAUUGCAGCCUGUCUGUUAACAGAGGACAAAGAAACUGAACACAACUAAAAGCCCCUGGACAGUGUCCUGGUUAUGUAAAUUAUGGUACUUAUAAUCACUGGAAUACUAUGAAGCCAUUAACAAGAAUAGAACGGACGUAUGCCUCAAUUGACUGGGAAAUGCACUGUCCGAGGUAUAUUGUAGACUAGGUAUAGUACGCUGCUUUUCUGUAAAACAGAGGAUAUGCAUAGAGGUAGAAAGAAGCGUUUGUAUACAGUAUACGAUGUGUGAAUGUGAGCUCUUGGAAGAUAUCUGGAAGAACCACACAAGGAACUGGGGGAGUGGGACUUGACUGUUCCUUCCCGGUCCUGGACUGCUGGAAAUCUGCAGGCGAUGGCGUACACGCCCCCGUCUGCAUGAGCUGUGCUAGCGGCCUGCGGCGAGAGAGGGCGCCGUAGCCAGCAGAGUCCUGUUUCCUAGCGGAGCAUCUCAGGCCUCCGGCGCGGUGACGUCCUGGGGACGGGCGGUGGCGCAUGCGCGGUUGGAAGGCUGCUGGGCGCCGAGCGGGCUGCUGCGCGGGCGCUUGCGGGCCGGGCUGUUUUUCCGGCAGCGAGGGCGCUGGAGUGGCGGCUUUGGCGCUGUUGGCGUUGGGUGGUGGGCCUGUUGGGGCCCACGUGAGCCGAUGGCAUCACGCCCGCGGCGGCCGGGGCCAGGGGCGCGUCUUUUCCAGACUUGGCACGUCCAGGAGGCGGGGCGGAAACCACAUCCCCGAAAGAAAUGAAGCUGUUGUCAUUUCUGGAAGGAAACUUGCCCAGCAGAUCAAGCAGGAAGUGCGGCAGGAGGUUGAAGAGUGGGUGGCAUCGGGCAACAAACGGCCCCACCUGAGCGUGGUCCUGAUCGGCGAGAAUCCUGCAAGUCACUCCUAUGUCCUCAACAAAACCAAGGCAGCUGCAGAUGUGGGAAUCAACAGUGAGACAAUUGUGAAAGCAGCUUCAAUUUCAGAGGAAGAACUGUUGAAUUUAAUCAAUAACCUAAAUAAUGAUGAUAAUGUAGACGGCCUCCUUGUUCAGCUGCCUCUUCCAGAGCACAUUGAUGAGAGAAAGAUCUGCAAUGCUGUUUCUCCAGACAAGGAUGUUGAUGGCUUUCAUGUAAUUAAUGUAGGGCGAAUGUGUUUAGACCAGUGUUCCAUGUUACCGGCUACCCCAUGGGGUGUGUGGGAAAUAAUUAAGCGAACUGGCAUUCCAACCCUAGGGCAGAAUGUGGUUGUGGCUGGAAGAUCAAAAAAUGUUGGAAUGCCCAUUGCAAUGUUACUACACACAGAUGGGGCGCAUGAACGUCCUGGAGGUGAUGCCACGGUUACAAUAUCUCACCGAUACACUCCCAAAGAGCAGCUGAAGAAACAUACCAUUCUUGCAGAUAUUGUGGUCUCCGCUGCAGGCAUUCCCAAUCUGAUCACAGCAGAUAUGAUCAAGGAAGGAGCUGCAGUCAUUGACGUGGGAAUAAAUAGAAUUCAAGAUCCCAUAACUGCUAAACCCAAGUUGGUUGGAGAUGUGGAUUUUGAAGAACCUACCUUUGCAAAUCAUCUAAAUCAUCAACGAAAAACACGUGAAUGAGUGCUGGGCUGCUUCCCUUCCUGGAGGAGGACAGUAAUUAGGGACCAGGGGAGUUAUGGUCUGUCACUACCAUAAGAAGAUAGUUUAAUUGCCACCAGUCACAUGGAUCUGCCUCUGAACAGCUUUCAUCUACAAAAGGCCAGAUCAUGCUGAGAGAAGAUGAGGUCCAGCAGCCUUCGGACGAUGAUGAGGCCCAGGAUCUGUGGUGCGAGUUCAGAGAAAACCCUGGGCUCAAGGCCCCAAACUCAGGCAGUUUUUCUCUCUCAGUCAGCUGUGUUUAGGGACUUUUCCUGGUCAGUGUCUCUGAAGCCAUCUCAAAGCUCCCACAAACCAGUAUCUACCUCCUACCCACUUUGGCUCUUCUCGUCUGGCCUUUCCUCAGUCGAGGGACAAUGCCUACCAGUGACUCAGACGUUCAGAGCCUGCAAGAGCUGAGGCGGGGAGCCAGAUGGAGAUCAUGGCUGGAGAACUACAGUCAUUCUUUAAAUCAGUGGUUCUCAAACUUGAGCUUAGUGGGCUGUUAAUACACUGCAGGGUGCUGGCUGAGUUUCUGAUUCAGCAGGUCUGGGGUGGGCCUGAGAACCUGCAUCUCUAACAAGUUUCCCAGGAGACGUUGAUGCUGCUGGUUUGGGGAUCACACUCUGAGACCAACUCCCCGUCUGCCCCCAUUUCUGAGAGCUGCCAAUCCUUCUGCUAACAAAAACUGAAUAAAGUAUACCGGGAUAUCUGGAAUUUCUAAAGGAAAGUCUAGAAAAUUUGGUUGUGUUCAGGAUAAACAAAGGGAAAAACAUGUGCUCUUUGGGGAAGAUUAAACACUGUCCUUUUAAUAAACUCAUGGGUCCAGGGUAGCUAGUGAUAAAUAUUGUCCUUUCCCCACCAAGAGCUGGCCACUAAAUGAGGUCAGGGAGAAGACCGCCAGCUGGAUAAACACUGGUCCCUCGCUGACACUGCGUCUUGACACUACAAGCAGCGCUCAGGAGUUGGACAGACCUGGGCUUUAAAAUUCCUGGCUCUGAAAACAGAUUAGUGGGUGCUGGGGACAGGGGUUGUCUACAGAGGGACACCACGAGGGAGUUUCAGGGGUGAUGUCCUGUAUCAUGACUAUGAUGGUGGAAUCACUCCUCUGCAUUUGUCAUGACUUAGAACCACAGAAUGAAUUUUACUGCAUGUAAAUCAAAAAAAAAAAAAAAAGCAAUAGGGGAGGGUCUGGAUCUUGGCUCUGCUCCUUCCUGGUUGUGUGACUUGAGUCCCUUACACAUGCUCUCUGACCCUCAGUCUUCUCAUCUGUAAGAUGGGGUUACUAGUGUACUUCAGGGCUGGUGUGGACCCAAUGCAACAGCACUCAGUACAGGCUUUUUUUUUUUUUCCACUGAGGAAGAUUUGCCCUGAGCUAAUACCUGUGUCAGUCUUCCUCUAUUUUGUAUGUGGGUCGCCACCGCAGCAUGCUCACUGACGAGUGGUAUAGGUCCGUGCCUGGGAACCGAACCUGGGCUGCUGAAGCAGAGCGCACUGAACUUAACCACUAGGCCACGGGGCCAGCCCUAGUACAGGCUUUUUAAUGGCACCUAUUACUGUCCUUUCACCUCUGAGCCCCAUGAGGGCACUGCUGGGUGGGUCCAUUUCCCUUUCCCUGGAAUGGUGGUUCUCAAGCUUGGCCGCACAUAUGUGCUCACCUGUAGAUGUACUGCAAAUACCAAUGCCUGGGUUUCUCCAGGAGAUUCUGAUUUAAUUGAUCUGGGGUGAGGCCUGGGCACAUGUAAUUUUAAAAAGCUCCCAAGUGACUCUAAUGAGCAGCCAGGGUCAAGAAUCAGUGACUUCGAGCCCUCCCAAGAGGGCACAUUUCAAGCCCUACCUCCCUGUCCUCACUUUGGCCCCUAAUCCAGCCCUGCAGGCUUGGGGUCCCCCCAGGCCUUUCCCCAAGCAUUAGCCCACAGGCUCCAGUCCCCUCUGCCACACCCCCAGCAGGGCCUGGGGCCAGUUCCCUCUGCUGGGGUCAUCAAGGGCCAGAUGCAACAUGUUGGCUUUUCUUCUUUUCAGUUUUUAUUUUGCAAUAAUUUCAAACUUACAUAAAAUUUCAAAAAUAGUCAAAGAACUGCCAUAUAUUUUCCCCAGCUUCACCAAAUGUCACCUUAAUGACAUUGGACUUUGCAGUUCUUAAUCUCUGAUUCUAGUUCUCUCCCCACUGCCCCCAUUUAUCUUUUCAAAUUCAGUUAUUUUGAAUGGUGAAAAGAUUUAUAGUUAGUAAUGACCUAGUUCUGCGCUUGGUUUGAAUUCUGGCAGUGGGCAACACAGUCUCCUUGUGGAAUUUGCCCAGCUCCCCCACCCCGCCCCAGAGCCAGGAGGGUGUGUGGCUUCCAUGUUCUCGCUGAGCUGCCCCAACCUGAGCUGGGUGCGGCUGGGCGUGCGGGCUGUCACCGCUGCACCUGCCCACCACACACAUUCUUCCCCCUCCCUCCUCUCCAUUUCCCCUGCUCCACCUGGCCUGGGCUCACAACCUGAAUCUUGGUCUGUGCCUGCCUCUGUGACCGCGAGAGAGUCAGGCCAUCUGGGAGGAGAAGGCAAGGGCGGACCUCCCAGUGGACACCUGCCUAGGCCUCAUCCAGCCAGCAGGAGGGGGAGCCCGCGCCCACCUUACCAUGACGGGGAAGAUGAUGGCGGCCACGGUGGACUUGAGGAUCCAGAGCACCGCCAGGCAGAGUAUCUGCACCAGGGUGAAGAGGUGGAUCCGGCGCAGCGGCACGUGCCGCAGGAAGGCGUGGUCUGGCUGGUGCUUGGCCGGCAUCAGGAAGAGCUUGCAGCGAUCCCAGAACUGCUGACCUGCGGGUCACACUGUGAACAAGGCUGCCCUGCCUCGCUCCCAGGGCUGUCGUGCUGGAAGUCUUGGGAGAACACAAAGUACUCUGCCCAACUUUUAGACGCCAUUGAAGAAUGUCAAUAAAUCCAACCAAUAAAUAACCUCUUUUUUAAAAUAAAUUAGA